UACCCUGUAGAUCCGAAU
RNAcentral lists this non-coding RNA (18 nucleotides) under Sarcophilus harrisii (Tasmanian devil). Its record names the gene sha-miR-10a. RNAcentral also lists the same sequence under 1 other name. Lineage: Eukaryota; Metazoa; Chordata; Mammalia; Dasyuromorphia; Dasyuridae. The record is from miRBase by way of RNAcentral.